This 1940-nucleotide long non-coding RNA is filed under the name Mastacembelus armatus (zig-zag eel). RNAcentral's name for it is "lncRNA (ENSMAMG00000025787.1)". Lineage: Eukaryota; Metazoa; Chordata; Actinopteri; Synbranchiformes; Mastacembelidae. The record is from RNAcentral.
CUAAUCAUCCUUAAUCUUCCAGUCAUCCUUAUACUUUUGAUGGUAAGGAUGACUGGGACUCUUUUAUCAUUCCUUUUGAGCGCAGAGCUGCCAUUUACAGAUGGAGUGCAGUAGAGACAGUGGAUAAACUGUAUGAAUGUCUAAGGGGCGCUGCUGUUAGAUAUUUGUGCUCAUUACCUGAACACAUACGUGAGGAUUACUUUCUGCUGAAAGAACAGCUGGCUUUCCAAUUUGGCGAAAAAGAGCCUCUCACCACAGCACGGAGGAGACUUGGGGGAACUGCACCAGUCUAAAGAAACUGUUUCACGAAGGAGAUUCACAGGCUAGUCAUUCUGGCUUAUCCUGGAGUUGACAUUGAGUUCAGGGAGCAAAUUGCUGCUGACGCUUCCCUAAACGGGCUGCGCAACCAGAAAGUGGCAUACAAAGUUAUGAACCAUGAACCUGUAUCACUGGAUGAGGCACAGCGGCUAGUUUCAUCCUAUGAACACAACUUCAAAUCAACACUUGGGCGAGACUUCGAUCAGAGGGGAAGGACAUGUCGAGUAUCCUGGGCUGAUCUAGACAUGGACCCUGAUGAGCCACAGGCCUUGCAGUCACAUCGAGUGCAGUCGCAGGGCUACGUUACACAGCACCAGUUGCAAGCACUCAUGGAUAAAGUUGAUAAACUCCAACAAGCCAUAGACCAUCUACCUCCUCCCUCUUCUGUUGUUCUCCCUUCUACAGUAAGACCCACCCAUCAGACAAAUUCCAGUGUGGCAGUCCAGUCAGAAAGGGGACCUGCAUCUCAGACUUCUUUCAAGUCAAACAGAUAUAGACAGCAGAGUAACAGCCCUACCAGAGCUGCUAGUGGGCCAUGUUUUCAGUGUGGGUUGGAGGGGCAUUACAAAAGAAACUGUUUACGGUCUCCCAGUCCAUCUACAAGUCCACCUGCAAAUACUGUGACCAAAAUGGAGCCCCCAAAUCAAAAUCGUUCUGAGCAAACAGAGCAAAGUCCAUCCAUUAUACAUGUAAAUAGAGCUGAGAGUCGAGGGUCCAGUUUAAUGAUCUUGAUUCGUGAUGCCCUGCUCCUGGGUUUGGAUUUCUUAAAAGCUGCUGAUUUCACCAUACAUGCCUCUGGCAGAAUUUUCAUGGGCUCAGAACUCAUCCCAGCAUAUAUAUCUGAAGGCAAGGGGCCAGACUACGCCAUUUCGAGGGUGAUGUUAGAGAGUGAUUUCACUGUGCCGCUAGAGUGUGAAUGCUUAGUCUGGGGUGUGGUAGAUGACCUAAAACCAGAACUCUCUGCUGUUCUAGAGCCUGUUAGCCUGGCUGAUGGAGUGUCUUCAGGCAGUAUUAUAAUUAACAUAGAACAGAGAAUUCCAGUCAGGCUAUGCAACAUCACAGCUUCUUGUAGACCUUUAUCAAGGGGAGUCUGUUUAGGGGUGCUCAUUGAAGCAUAUCCUGAUGCUCAAGAGGAAGGAGAGCGAGCCUAUACAGUUCCAGUUGAGGGACAGUUUUAUGCAAAAGGUGGGGAAUCCAUGCUACCAGACCCCAACAGUGAUCCUCUGGAUGAACACCAUGUGACCUUCCAGAACCUCAGACAUUUGUUCACUUCUGCAAGCGAAACUCUCACAGAACAUCAGCAAGAGCAAGAGAUGUUAAUAGCUCUACUGAGUGAACACCAAGACGUUUUUGCAGCAACUGAUGAUGAUCUCGGGAAGUUCUCUGCUCUGCAGCACAGUAUUGAUACAGGAAUGGCUAAGCCUGUUCAACAGCCAGUAAAACGUAACCCUUUAGGGUUCUGGAAUGAGGAGGAAACGCAUCUGAAAAAAAAUGCUUGAAGCAGGUAUUGUCAUCCCCUCAAGCUCUGAAUGGGCAUCCCCUAUCGUCCUUGUAAGGAAGAUAGAUGGUGGUGCAUAGAUUAUCGCCAGCUUAAUGACCUUACUAUUAAGGAUGCAUAUCCC